Molecule: ribosomal RNA, 484 nt
Filed under: uncultured bacterium
Lineage: Bacteria
Description: partial 16S ribosomal RNA
Rfam family: Bacterial small subunit ribosomal RNA
Source: RNAcentral
AUUGAACGCUGGCGGCAGGCCUAACACAUGCAAGUCGAGCGGAUGAAGGGAGCUUGCUCCUGGAUUCAGCGGCGGACGGGUGAGUAAUGCCUAGGAAUCUGCCUGGUAGUGGGGGAUGACGUCCGGAAACGGGCGCUAAUACCGCAUACGUCCUGAGGGAGAAGGUGGGGGAUCUUCGGACCUCACGCUAUCAGAUGAGCCUAGGUCGGAUUAGCUAGUUGGUGGGGUAAAGGCCUACCAAGGCGACGAUCCGUAACUGGUCUGAGAGGAUGAUCAGUCACACUGGAACUGAGACACAGUCCAGACUCCUACGGGAGGCAGCAGUGGGGAAUAUUGGACAAUGGGCGAAAGCCUGAUCCAGCCAUGCCGCGUGUGUGAAGAAGGUCUUCGGAUUGUAAAGCACUUUAAGUUGGGAGGAAGGGCAGUAAGUUAAUACCUUGCUGUUUUGACGUUACCAACAGAAUAAGCACCGGCUAACUUCGUG